GGCUCAGAAUGAACGCUGGCGGCGUGCUUAACACAUGCAAGUCGCACGAGAACGCUUCAGCUUGCUGAAGUUAGUAAAGUGGCGCACGGGUGAGUAACGCGUGGGUAAUCUUCCCCCGAAUUGGGGAUAACAUUGCGAAAGCGAUGCUAAUACCGAAUGAUAUCUUUCGUACCCAGGUACUUAAGAUCAAAGGUGGCCUCUACAUGUAAGCUACUGUUUGGGGAUGAGCCCGCGUACCAUUAGCUUGUUGGUAGGGUAACGGCCUACCAAGGCUGCGAUGGUUAGCUGGUCUGAGAGGAUGAUCAGCCACACUGGAACUGACACACGGUCCAGACUCCUACGGGAGGCAGCAGUGAGGAAUUUUGCGCAAUGGGGGAAACCCUGACGCAGCAACGCCGCGUGAGUGAUGAAGGCUUUCGGGUCGUAAAGCUCUGUCAAGUGGGAAGAACCCACAUGGUGUUAAUACCGCCAUGUGCUGACGGUACCACUGAAGGAAGCACCGGCUAACUCCGUGCCAGCAGCCGCGGUAAUACGGGGGGUGCAAGCGUUAUUCGGAAUUACUGGGCGUAAAGAGCGCGUAGGCGGUCCUUUAAGUCGGAUGUGAAAGCCCGGGGCUUAACCCCGGAAGUGCACUCGAAACUAAAGGACUUGAGUAUGGGAGAGGGAAGUGGAAUUCCUGGUGUAGCGGUGAAAUGCGUAGAUAUCAGGAGGAACACCGGUGGCGAAGGCGACUUCCUGGACCAAUACUG
Molecule: ribosomal RNA, 749 nt
Filed under: uncultured delta proteobacterium
Lineage: Bacteria; Deltaproteobacteria
Description: bacterial SSU rRNA
Rfam family: Bacterial small subunit ribosomal RNA
Source: RNAcentral